This is a long non-coding RNA of Solea senegalensis (Senegalese sole), 418 nucleotides long. RefSeq lists it as uncharacterized. The record is from RefSeq and is a predicted model, not a curated record. Lineage: Eukaryota; Metazoa; Chordata; Actinopteri; Pleuronectiformes; Soleidae. The transcript has 3 exons.
ACCGGGGCUGAGGAGCCUGAAGAGGCUCUCCUGGAAGUCCUCAGGACCGCUAACGCCGCAGCAGUGGAACUGAAGGGAGAAGCGCGAUGAUGAGAGCAACAGCACACAAGAGACUGAGCGGAUUAACAGCCGGCCUAAAGAAAUCUGAAGUGAUGUGUCACCGUGGUCAUGAUGCCGUUCCACAUGGAUGUGAAGACGUCCGAGUUGUUGUGACCUUGAUAGUGACGUUUCAGCUCCCUGGUGAAAUAGUCUCUGUUUAACUGCAGACACACAAACACAGUCAGUUUAGGCAUUGGCCAGCCAAGGGACUGAAGAUGGAAAGAGCUUUGACUAUAAUGCAUAUUUAUACGCAGCAGACACUUGUUCUCCCUGAUGGCGCCGCAGCAGCCCAGGAAGCCGAGCAGGAACAGCAUGCUGC